Molecule: ribosomal RNA, 959 nt
Filed under: uncultured bacterium
Lineage: Bacteria
Description: bacterial SSU rRNA
Rfam family: Bacterial small subunit ribosomal RNA
Source: RNAcentral
GGAGGGCGCAAGCGUUACUCGGAAUCACUGGGCGUAAAGAGCGUGUAGGCGGGUAAUUAAGUCAGGAGUGAAAUCCUAUGGCUCAACCAUAGAACUGCUCUUGAAACUGAUUACCUAGAAUAUGGGAGAGGUAGAUGGAAUUUCUGGUGUAGGGGUAAAAUCCGUAGAGAUCAGAAGGAAUACCGAUUGCGAAGGCGAUCUACUGGAACAUUAUUGACGCUGAGACGCGAAGGCGUGGGGAGCAAACAGGAUUAGAUACCCUGGUAGUCCACGCCCUAAACGAUGUACACUAGUUGUUGUGAGGCUAGACCUUGCAGUAAUGCAGUAAACACAUUAAGUGUACCGCCUGGGGAGUACGGUCGCAAGAUUAAAACUCAAAGGAAUAGACGGGGACCCGCACAAGCGGUGGAGCAUGUGGUUUAAUUCGACGAUACGCGAAGAACCUUACCUGGACUUGACAUAGUAAGAACUUUCUAGAGAUAGAUUGGUGUCUGCUUGCAGAAACUUAUAUACAGGUGCUGCACGGCUGUCGUCAGCUCGUGUCGUGAGAUGUUGGGUUAAGUCCCGCAACGAGCGCAACCCUCGUCGUUAGUUGCUAACAGUUCGGCUGAGAACUCUAACGAGACUGCCUACGCAAGUAGGAGGAAGGUGAGGACGACGUCAAGUCAUCAUGGCCCUUACGUCCAGGGCUACACACGUGCUACAAUGGGGUAUACAAAGAGCCGCGAUACCGUGAGGUGGAGCAAAUCUCAAAAAUAUCUCCCAGUUCGGAUUGUAGUCUGCAACUCGACUACAUGAAGUUGGAAUCGCUAGUAAUCGUAGAUCAGCAAUGCUACGGUGAAUACGUUCCCGGGUCUUGUACUCACCGCCCGUCACACCAUGGGAGUUGAACUCAUUCGAAGCGGGGAUGCUAAGGUAGCUACCCUCCACAGUGGAUUCAGUGACUGGGGUGAAGUCGU